AUUCGCACGCGGGCAGACGAGGCGAGACGGCUGCGUGGUGGGCCCCACGUGCAGCCUCACGAGCCGCGUCAUGUCCCCAGAUGGGGCUUCGGGCUUCGGCUAUUACCUGGCGCGGAGAGGAGAGGGAGUGAGUCGAGAUCCAUUCCCAACUGCACCUGCGCGCCUCGACUGGUAGCCCGAACCCUAGCUAGCAGGUCGGAGGCGAGAGAGCAGCCAUGGCGCGGUGCCUCGCGCUCGUCUCCCUCCUUCUCCUCGGCCUCGCCUCCGCCGCCUCCGCUGCCGAUGCGCCCUUUGUCGUCGCGCACAAGAAGGUUUCGCUCUCCCGCCCCAAGCCGGGCGUCGAGCGCGUCGCCGUCUCCCUCGACCUCUACAACCAGGGAUCCGCGACUGCCUAUGAUGUGUCACUUAAUGACGACUCUUGGCCAACACAAGCAUUUGAGCUUGUCACUGGAGAGAAAUCGAAGACAUUGGAAAGGCUUGACCCUGGUGCCACUGCUACACACACAUAUGUCCUGGAGACCAAAACACAGGGCAGGUUCCAGGGUUCACCAGCUAUUAUUACGUACCGUGUUCCCACAAAGACUGCUCUUCAGGCACUGGAGUUUCUAAUGGUAAUGAUCAAGGAGCUCCUGCUAUCUCAUGGUUGUCAUUUCGACCUCUACAAGUCUACAUCACCAAAUCAAAGCAUGUUUGUCGGAUCUGCCGUGCACUGAACAAAAGUCAUUCACUGCGAACAUUAACCAAAGAUGGAUGUGCCGUGCACUGGGAAAAAAGAGUCAUUCACUGCGAACAUUAACCAAAGAUGGAUGUGCCGUGCACUGGGAAAAAAGAUUCACUGGUGAAGAUUAAUAAAAGGCUAGAGUUAAAAUUCAAUAUAAACUAAUUUUCAGCUAUCGUGAUGAAGACAUCACUUCUAUACAUACAAUGAAUGGACCGAUAAUAUGAUCGCGUGCACGACAGCUAAUUCUCCAGGUACGUUUUACCCUAGUCAAUUGUGUUUCAGAGCUUACACUUGGGGCCAUGGAUGUUUUGAUGAUUAGGAACCUUGGAGAGGACCAGCAAGGACUUAGGAAAGGCCUAGGUGUUGAGGAGGAGCAGCAAGGGUGGCCACAACAGGAAGGAGAUCAAGUCCGACUCGGCUGCGACUCCAUCUCGGGUUUCAGGACCAGUCUGCACUAAAAUGGACGCCCAAGAUGCAUCCGAACUCCGAUUGCGACGGGCUUGAUAUGGUUGGAAAGAUAAAGAGAUUAUCUAACCAACCCAACUGGUUCCACCCUAAAAUUUAUCCGGAGUCAACGGGAAUCGUCGAAUCAAUUCAGCGUUCAGAUUCUGUUUUGGUGCUGCGACACCGUCUGUUGGGUCGUUGGUCCGUGUAUCGCGUCGGAGCCCAUUAGGGGCGAGUCCAGGGGUCACGCACGCCCUAAUACUCUAUUUAUUCAGCAGCCAUCGCCACAAUUAGACUUGAGUUUUGCUUAAGUUUAGAUCUGUCGAGAACAGUCGUCGUAGAUCGGUUUGUGAGACCCCAACUUGUGAGCUUAAUUAUUCAUCCGCAAUAUUCUAGAUUGUGUUCUUUCUUGUUCU
RNA transcript from Zea mays, 1581 nucleotides. RefSeq lists it as uncharacterized. The record is from RefSeq and is marked validated. NCBI's taxonomy places the organism in Eukaryota, Viridiplantae, Streptophyta, Magnoliopsida, Poales, Poaceae. The transcript has 5 exons.